GCCGCUCUAUCCCAACUGGUCAGAGGAACGCGGCUCAGACCCGCGACAGUGAGGGUUCGACUCCCUCGGGCGGUA
RNAcentral lists this transfer RNA (75 nucleotides) under Frankiaceae bacterium. RNAcentral's name for it is "tRNA-Leu". It matches the Rfam family "tRNA". From Rfam's summary of the family: Transfer RNA (tRNA) molecules are approximately 80 nucleotides in length. Their secondary structure includes four short double-helical elements and three loops (D, anti-codon, and T loops). The record is from RNAcentral. Lineage: Bacteria; Bacillati; Actinomycetota; Actinomycetes; Frankiales; Frankiaceae.